CAGGGCAAGACGAGAAAACACAGUGCUGUCCUGAUAAACGGCUCUAAAUCCCUCCUAUCCAGCAAAGUCUUAUUACAGGAAUACUGUCUGUUUGGCUCAGAGUGAGGUCUUGGAAACAGAAUGGAAAAAAAAAUGCUUCUAAUAUCCUGAGAUGCCUGUUGUCUAAAAUUUGGAAAACCACGUGAGUUAUUUGAAGAGAAAUACUUUUCGUUGUUGGCAAUUCAGGGCCACA
Molecule: long non-coding RNA, 232 nt
Filed under: Ictidomys tridecemlineatus (thirteen-lined ground squirrel)
Lineage: Eukaryota; Metazoa; Chordata; Mammalia; Rodentia; Sciuridae
Description: lncRNA (ENSSTOG00000030436.1)
Source: RNAcentral